UUGACCUGAAAUUAAUUUUGGUCUUAUUUAAAAAAAAAAAAUAAACGAAAUAUAUAAAAGUACUUUGGAGGUAAAAUCUUUGUACUUAAAAUAGUUUACUGAUUCAUCACUGCACUUCUCAAGUAAUUAGAGUGACCCAGCGCCCAGCGAGCCAAGCAAUUGGAGCAAGAGCUUCGUGAAUCUCUUCAGUAGACAUAGUUACAUUAGUUAUUACCUGUGCAAGAAAUGAAGUAAAUAUAUUGCGAACGAAUAUAACGGUAAACUAAAAAAUUAAUUUUAUUGUAAGUUUUCUUGUAUCAUAAAAUGUAUCUAUUAAUUAAACUAAAUUCCAUAUUAAAACUUCCUCAGUGUGAAUGAUGAAUCCUUAAUACCUUACAAUUUACAACUUAAUAGCGAAACUACUUUUCCAAUUAUGUUUUUGCAGUUUUUGUAUUUGGGUUGGGUAUUCUUCGAAUCCUCGGUCAAAGACAUCUGUCAAUUCUUUAAUAUUAAAUGACAUUUCAGUGUAGCCAAAAAUCAAUUAUAAUACUAUUUUAUUUAAUUACUAAUAUUAACUAAGAGUAAUUUAAAAGCAAGAUUAUCAUCGUUCUAGAAAAUAAGACGCAAAAGUAUAGAUGUCUAGUGUAAAGAAAAUGCAUUUCACUUUCGUAGGACGUAUAAUUUAUACUAUUUUAUAUUAAGGUUGAAUAAACAGUUCACAUCCGUACAAAGAAAACAAAAUAUUUUUAUUUCCGAGAUAAUACCGCCUUUGUACAUCUUUCUUUGUAUGUAUCACUUAUUUUGUAACAUUACUUUACGAUGGACAAUAAAGAGUAUUUGUUAUUACUAUUA
Molecule: long non-coding RNA, 831 nt
Organism: Melitaea cinxia (Glanville fritillary)
Lineage: Eukaryota; Metazoa; Arthropoda; Insecta; Lepidoptera; Nymphalidae
Exons: 2
Source: RefSeq, a predicted model, not a curated record